This is a long non-coding RNA of Oncorhynchus tshawytscha (Chinook salmon), 1678 nucleotides long. The record is from Ensembl. NCBI's taxonomy places the organism in Eukaryota, Metazoa, Chordata, Actinopteri, Salmoniformes, Salmonidae.
GCUUGGUAAAGUGAAGAAUGUGAGGAUCACGAGAGGCGGGCUGGUUUAGAUUUUUUUGCGGAUCAGAAGUAAUGUGCGUUGUGUCUUAACCAAUUUGAUAAGUUUGAAGUGUUAUUUGUGUCUCUUCGGAAUAGGGCAUCCCUCACGGGGGUUAUAUCUGGCAUCUCGUGGGAAGUCCGUUUUGAAGAGAUGAAGAAUAUUCCUGGAGUGAUUGAAGCAUUUCGGAUGAAUCGUGUGGUGAAUGGUGAAAAAUUGAAGGGUCUAUCUGAUCUUUUAGUUUUUUGGAGUCUCUCCUACUCAAAUGCAGUUGGGGUAUAUAAACUACAGAGAUAUGUUGCAAUUGUGGUGGGAACCAUGAAGCCACGUCUUUCGAAUGCCCCGCAAGAGUGAAAGAGAAUGAGGUGGCCAAAGUCAGGGCUGUACAGAGCAUUUCAUAUGCAGCAGCUGUUAAAAGGGCUGAGGGUUUGAAAGGUGCACCAGAAGAGAGUCCAUGGUGGUGGAUAAGCCUUCACUGCAAGCUGCAGGGGUUGACUUUCACCAGCAGGAGCCAGACAUUUUAAAGGUUAAGAAGGUGGCCUUUAUAGCUAUGGUGAUAAAUGCCACUGCCAAGGUGGAGAGCAGGUCCAGGAAGAUAGAAAUUAUUGUGGAUGUGGCGGAGCGAUUCCUGGAGCUGAAAGAUUUUUGGUGAAGGAGCUACAUGGAAUAUAUUCACAAGCAGUACCACCCUCUGGGGCCCUACAUCCUGAGAAGUUUCAACCUGUCCAGUUGGUGGCGGCAAUACACCUUUUUGGGUUGUAGUCCGCCAUAAAACCCACAGAAGCAGAAGAAGAAUACAAACGAAGAAGACCGACACAUCCAAGCUGUCCAUUUUCAUGCUCUGGCAUAUUCCUUUCAACCUGUUCGUCGUUACCCCCUAGUUACUGCCAGGUCCUUUUGCGCAAAAUAAUGUAGUUGUAGACAGUUUACACUGCAGGCUGAACAAUUCCGAGUGGUACACUUGUGUCAACUGCACUGCCCACGGUCACAGUGUCGAUAUGUUGCAAAUAAGCAGCCCUACAUGACCUGGGUGUAGGUGGUGAGCCGGGACAACUACCUUGUAUAUUAUUAACCACAGGUUCUUCACCAUGCUCUGUGAAGAGGGAGUCCUUUUGGAGGUGGCCAUGCUAUCUCUGAAGGACGUACGGGCAGAAAGUUUGGAGCGCCCAAUAAACAGCAGUCUUUACAGAUUGUGAAUGCCUAUAGGCAAUUCACCAUGUGGGCAAGAGGACACUUGGGGAAGAGGAACAGAGUGCCUAUACCUGGCUGUGUGGUACAUUGAAACCGAUCACAAUUCACUUCUAAGGAGUGCUACAGAUUUGAAUAUGCUUUUUAUGAUUGAAACAUUUGACCUGCUCAUGCAGCCUACUUUACAUGUUGUUUAUUGUUCAUCUGUUUUAUGCAGCCUACUGUAGUAAAUUGUGUAAUGAAAAACAAAAUGGCUAUUACGUAUGAAUUUCUCCAUGCUAAAUGUCUUUAAGCAAUUUCAUUUAUUCCACCACCACCAAAUGGUUCCCUAUAGAGUAUAUACGAAAGGCUUGCCUCUCGAGCUGUUCUCAUUUUAGGUAUGACGUCUCUCCCUGCAGAGUGCGCACGCGAGCACCUUUGCAAGUUCACAAUUAUUGUAAAGAACUAAUGGCGC